AACGAACGCUGGCGGCAAGCUUAACACAUGCAAGUCGAACGCCCCGCAAGGGGAGUGGCAGACGGGUGCGUAACGCGUGGGAACAUACCCUUUUCUACGGAAUAGCUCUGGGAAACUGGAAUUAAUACCGUAUACGCCCUACGGGGGAAAGAUUUAUCGGGGAAGGAUUGGCCCGCGUUGGAUUAGCUAGUUGGUGGGGUAAAGGCCUACCAAGGCGACGAUCCAUAGCUGGUCUGAGAGGAUGAUCAGCCACAUUGGGACUGAGACACGGCCCAAACUCCUACGGGAAGCAGCAGUGGGGAAUAUUGGACAAUGGGCGCAAGCCUGAUCCAGCCAUGCCGCGUGAGUGAUGAAGGCCUUAGGGUUGUAAAGCUCUUUCACCGAUGAAGAUAAUGACGGUAGUCGGAGAAGAAGCCCCGGCUAACUUCGUG
This 431-nucleotide ribosomal RNA is filed under the name uncultured bacterium. Its description in RNAcentral is "partial 16S ribosomal RNA". It matches the Rfam family "Bacterial small subunit ribosomal RNA", at positions 29 to 507 of the family's 1533-position model. The record is from RNAcentral.